GACGAACGCUGGCGGCGGUGCUUAACACAUGCAAGUCGAACGAGGAGCGAGUGGAAGCUUAGCUUCUAUCAAUCUUAGUGGCGAACGGGUGAGUAACGCGUAAUCAACCUGCCCUUCAGAGGGGGACAACAGUUGGAAACGACUGCUAAUACCGCAUACGAUCCAACCUCGGCAUCGAGGAUGGAUGAAAGGUGGCCUCUAUUUAUAAGCUAUCACUGAAGGAGGGGAUUGCGUCUGAUUAGCUAGUUGGAGGGGUAACGGCCCACCAAGGCAAUGAUCAGUAGCCGGUCUGAGAGGAUGAACGGCCACAUUGGGACUGAGACACGGCCCAG
Molecule: ribosomal RNA, 332 nt
Filed under: uncultured bacterium
Lineage: Bacteria
Description: bacterial SSU rRNA
Rfam family: Bacterial small subunit ribosomal RNA
Source: RNAcentral